Molecule: long non-coding RNA, 356 nt
Organism: Scylla paramamosain (green mud crab)
Lineage: Eukaryota; Metazoa; Arthropoda; Malacostraca; Decapoda; Portunidae
Exons: 2
Source: RefSeq, a predicted model, not a curated record
ACUGUACGACUGUAUUGCUUCAUUGAUGUGACUCACUGUGUUGCAGGUGGCAGUGAGGGGAGUGGUGAGGGUGGUGGAGGGGCGGGCUCAGCAGGCCACCUUCAACCGGCGUGACCUGUUGUCCUCACCUGCUCCACACCUGCCCUAGUACCACUACAGAGCCAUGUUGCGGUGUACGUAUUUCAAUUCGGGGCAGCUGAGUCCUGAUUUACGCCUACCGAUGCUGCCUGGGCUCACUCCACUGGAUCCCUAGGCUAGUCAGUGAACAAGUCACGGGCGGCCAUUCCACGUUCGUCCGCCAACCUCUGCCUCUCACUCGCCUUGCAUUUUAUGCAGAACAGAAACUAUCAGCAUCA